This 311-nucleotide long non-coding RNA is filed under the name Homo sapiens (human). Its description in RNAcentral is "non-protein coding lnc-TOX3-1:12". Lineage: Eukaryota; Metazoa; Chordata; Mammalia; Primates; Hominidae. The record is from RNAcentral.
GCAAAAUCUAGGUGCUGCAAGAAAAGUCACAGCCUUGGGGUUUCAGUGAAGAGACAGCCCAAAUGCUCUUGAAGUAGUCAGAAAAGUCUACAGGUGUGACUCCCUUAUGCCGCUCUCUCCUGCCAUUUGGGCAACAGCCAACUUCCGAGGCCAACCUUGUUUCUGGAGAAGCAUUCUUCCCACAUGGGAAAGGCAAGGAUGGUGCUGAGCCUGUCUGCCUCUGUGUUCCCUGGACAACUCCAUUCCAGUGCAAGAUUCUCAUGGUUGAAUUCAUUGUCUCCCAAUUAUGAGCACCAUCUGCAAGAGUCCAC